This is a long non-coding RNA of Daphnia pulex (common water flea), 373 nucleotides long. RefSeq lists it as uncharacterized. The transcript has 4 exons. NCBI's taxonomy places the organism in Eukaryota, Metazoa, Arthropoda, Branchiopoda, Diplostraca, Daphniidae. The record is from RefSeq and is a predicted model, not a curated record.
GGUUAGUGUGUACGGUUAUAGUUACUGUCUUUCACGUUUCGAUGCAGUUUUUAAAGUGAGCUUUUUAGCAUUUCAAAAUGUUUGUUAAGUAGCAUAAUGUGGUAAAGCAGAUUAAUGAAAUCCAUGUCCAUUAGGAAAAAAUCCAGGAAAAUAGCAUGAUCCAGGUUGUUCUUCAAUUGCAACCAAAGAUAAUCAAGGACAAAUGCAAAAUAUCCAACUGAAAUUCUCUUCAUAUUCGUGGUAAUUUUGGAAAAUAUUUUGUCCAGAGAACGGUGCCUUAAAAGAAAGAACUUUGGUUGUGAUAAUGUGGCAGUAUAAUUUGCGUGAAUCCGUCGUCGCCUUUCCAAAGACUGACCCAUCGGAUGGUGAAACU